This 599-nucleotide ribosomal RNA is filed under the name uncultured fungus. RNAcentral describes it as "eukaryotic LSU rRNA". The stretch from base 173 to 326 matches the Rfam family "5.8S ribosomal RNA". Lineage: Eukaryota; Fungi. The record is from RNAcentral.
AUUAGUGAAUUAAACAUGCUUGGUGUCUUCGCUUCGGCAAGGCCCUUGCUUAAAUCACAUCCUAACACCUGUGAACUGUAAGACGUAUGAUGAGGUCUUUGGCCAAGUCAUCGUCUGCCCAUUUUUAACAAACAAUUAAUGUAACAAACGUAGUCUUAUUAUAACCUAAUAAAACUUUCAACAACGGAUCUCUUGGCUCUCGCAUCGAUGAAGAACGCAGCGAAAUGCGAUAAGUAAUGUGAAUUGCAGAAUUCAGUGAAUCAUCGAAUCUUUGAACGCACCUUGCGCUCUUUGGUAUUCCGAAGAGCAUGCCUGUUUGAGUGUCAUGAAAAUAUCAACCUUGACUUGGGUUUUGUGCUCUAGUCUUGGCUUGGAAUUGGGUGCUUGCCGCUUUUACGAGCGGCUCACCUUAAAUGUAUUAGCUGGAUCUGUCUUUGAGACUUGGUUUGACUUGGCGUAAUAAGUAUUUCGCUAAGGACAUUCUUCGGAGUGGCCUCGUUUCUAGGACGCUUGUCCGCUUCCCAAUACAAGUUCCACCUCGUGGACAUGACUUUUUUAUUAUCUGGCCUCAAAUCAGGUAGGACUACCCGCUGAACUUA